CAAAAGUUUGGUCCUGACUUUACUAACAACUCCAGCUAGAUUUACACAUGCAAGUAUCCGCACCCCUGUGAGAAUGCCCUACAGUCCCCUGCUUGGGAACAAGGAGCCGGUAUCAGGCACAAUUACUGAAGCCCAUGACACCUUGCUUAGCCACACCCUCAAGGGAAUUCAGCAGUGACAAACAUUAAGCCAUAAGUGAAAGCUUGACUUAGUUAAAGCUAAGAGGGUCGGUAAAACUCGUGCCAGCCACCGCGGUUAUACGAGAGACCCAAGUUGUUAGAUACCGGCGUAAAGAGUGGUUAAGAUAAAUUAAGACUAAAGCCGAACGCCCUCAGAACUGUUAUACGUUUCCGAAGGUGAGAAGUCCGAUCACGAAAGUGGCUUUACAUUAACUGAACCCACGAAAGCUAGGGUACAAACUGGGAUUAGGUACCCCACUAUGCCUAGCCCUAAACAUCGGUAGCAUUCUACAGCUGCUACCCGCCUGGGUACUACGAGCAUCAGCUUAAAACCCAAAGGACUUGGCGGUGCUUUAGAUCCACCUAGAGGAGCCUGUUCUAGAACCGAUGCCCCCCGUUCAACCUCACCCUUUCUUGUUUUCCCCGCCUAUAUACCACCGUCGUCAGCUUACCCUGUGAAGGCCUCAUAGUAAGCAAGAUUGGCACAGCCCAAAACGUCAGGUCGAGGUGUAGCGCAUGGAAGGGGAAGAAUGGGUACUUCCCUCCCCUCAGGGAAUUACGGACGAUGUACUGAAAUACAUAUUUGAAGGAGGAUUUAGCAGUAAGAAAAA
RNAcentral lists this ribosomal RNA (790 nucleotides) under Zanclus cornutus (moorish idol). RNAcentral describes it as "partial 12S large subunit ribosomal RNA". It matches the Rfam family "Bacterial small subunit ribosomal RNA", at positions 7 to 1347 of the family's 1533-position model. The record is from RNAcentral. Lineage: Eukaryota; Metazoa; Chordata; Actinopteri; Acanthuriformes; Zanclidae.